AUGCCGCGCUCCUUCCUUGUGGAUUCGCUGGUGCUGCGCGAGGCCGGCGAGAAGAAGGCGCCGGAGGGCAGCCCGCCGCCGCUCUUCCCCUACGCCGUGCCGCCGCCGCACGCCCUGCACGGGCUCUCCCCGGGCGCCUGCCACGCGCGCAAGGCCGGGCUGCUGUGCGUUUGCCCGCUCUGCGUCACCGCCUCCCAGCUGCACGGGCCCCCCGGGCCGCCCGCGCUGCCCCUGCUCAAGGCGUCCUUCCCGCCCUUCGGCUCGCAGUACUGCCACGCGCCCCUGGGCCGCCAGCACUCGGCCGUGUCGCCCGGGGUCGCUCACGGCCCCGCCGCCGCCGCCGCCGCCGCCGCGCUCUACCAGACCUCGUACUCGCUCCCCGACCCCAGGCAGUUCCACUGCAUCUCCGUGGACAGCAGCUCGAACCCGCUGCCCAGCAGCAAGAGGAUGCGUACGGCGUUCACCAGCACGCAGCUGCUAGAGCUGGAGCGCGAGUUCGCCGCCAACAUGUACCUGUCCCGCCUGCGCCGCAUCGAGAUCGCGACCUACCUGAACCUGUCGGAGAAGCAGGUGAAGAUCUGGUUCCAGAACCGCCGGGUGAAGCACAAGAAAGAGGGCAAGGGCAGCAACCACCGCGGCGGCAGCGGCGGCGGCGGGGGCGCGGGGGCGGGCGAGGGCGCACCGCAGGGCUGCAAGUGCGCGUCGCUCUCCUCCGCUAAGUGCUCCGAGGACGACGAUGAAGUGCCCAUGUCUCCGUCCUCUUCGGGGAAGGAUGACCGCGAUCUGACGGUCACUCCCUAGGCGCACUCCUCCUCAGGGAGCCCACCCCAGACACUCCCCGCGCGUGGCUCCAAGACCGGUCCUCGGACACGGCUCUGUUUCCCAGGCACCCACUGCGUAAGGCGGUCGCGCACGGACGUAGCGCGACUUUGCAGGGGUCUUCCGUCCUGGGAAGCGUCAAGAGCUUGGCUGACCUGACCUUGGUGUCUCCACCCCAGGGCCCGCGGCUAUCCAAAGCGGACUCCCAGCUAUGAACACACCGCAAGCGCGCGAAUCUUUCUCGGCCAGGCGACACAGGGGCCCGGCCCAGCCCAGCGCCUUGCUGGCGGCCGGCGCCUCCUCGCCCGCCAGCUCCGGACUGGCUCAGGCUUCCUCGCUUCCUAGGCUCUUCUCCACCCUUGGCCAAGCUCGGCCUUUCACCUCUAGGGUGCCCAUUCGCUCCUCCCUUUUUUUUUUUUUUUUUUGUCUUUCCCUCCCCACCUCUUUGCUACGGUGAUUAAUCCACUUCCCCAACCGCCACACAACUUAGGAACUCCUGGGUUUUGGUGUUUUUCUUUUCCUUUCUCCUCCCCUCUCCACAGAGCCCCCUUGAAGUUCAUCGUUCGUUUGUCGCCCCCCAUCCGACCUGCUGUGACCAUGGCUCUUCUCCCACGAGCGAAACUGCCUGUCGGGAAACCGGUUCACUUUGUCUUGGAGCCGCUCUGCGUUCCCCCCAGAGUCCCACUGUCUGCCUCUGAGGACACUCAUCUCCCAGACCCCAGCCCUGCCCCGGCCUAGCUUGUCAUUAAAUCCACAUAGCUCUGGAUCCCAAGCCAGGUUGGGGCUUCCUGCGGGCGCCGGUCGGGGCUGGGUGGUGGAGUCCGGCUCCAUCCCUCACCUUGCUGCUCACCAGCCCCUCCCUACACCCUCA
RNA transcript from Cervus elaphus (red deer), 1690 nucleotides. It is a transcript of the gene named GS homeobox 1, with no coding region annotated. NCBI's taxonomy places the organism in Eukaryota, Metazoa, Chordata, Mammalia, Artiodactyla, Cervidae. The transcript has 3 exons. The record is from RefSeq and is a predicted model, not a curated record.